This 253-nucleotide ribosomal RNA is filed under the name uncultured bacterium. Its description in RNAcentral is "partial 16S ribosomal RNA". It matches the Rfam family "Bacterial small subunit ribosomal RNA", at positions 524 to 776 of the family's 1533-position model. The record is from RNAcentral.
UACGUAGGGGGCGAGCGUUAAUCGGAAUUACUGGGCGUAAAGCGUGCGCAGGCGGUGAUGUAAGACCGAUGUGAAAUCCCCGGGCUCAACCUGGGAACUGCAUUUGUGACUGCACGGCUGGAGUGCGGCAGAGGGGGAUGGAAUUCCGCGUGUAGCAGUGAAAUGCGUAGAUAUGCGGAGGAACACCGAUGGCGAAGGCAAUCCCCUGGGCCUGCACUGACGCUCAUGCACGAAAGCGUGGGGAGCAAACAGG